GGUUGGAUAGCUCAGCUGGUAGAGCGAUGGUUUGAAGAACCAUGCGUCGUCGGUUCGAUCCCGGCUCCAACCACCA
RNAcentral lists this transfer RNA (76 nucleotides) under compost metagenome. RNAcentral's name for it is "tRNA-Phe". It matches the Rfam family "tRNA". From Rfam's summary of the family: Transfer RNA (tRNA) molecules are approximately 80 nucleotides in length. The record is from RNAcentral.